RNAcentral lists this ribosomal RNA (497 nucleotides) under uncultured bacterium. RNAcentral's name for it is "partial 16S ribosomal RNA". It matches the Rfam family "Bacterial small subunit ribosomal RNA", at positions 28 to 507 of the family's 1533-position model. The record is from RNAcentral.
GAUGAACGCUGGCGGCGUGCCUAAUACAUGCAAGUCGAGCGAACAGACGAGGAGCUUGCUCCUCUGACGUUAGCGGCGGACGGGUGAGUAACACGUGGAUAACCUACCUAUAAGACUGGGAUAACUUCGGGAAACCGGAGCUAAUACCGGAUAAUAUAUUGAACCGCAUGGUUCAAUAGUGAAAGACGGUUUUGCUGUCACUUAUAGAUGGAUCCGCGCCGCAUUAGCUAGUUGGUAAGGUAACGGCUUACCAAGGCAACGAUGCGUAGCCGACCUGAGAGGGUGAUCGGCCACACUGGAACUGAGACACGGUCCAGACUCCUACGGGAGGCAGCAGUGGGGAAUCUUCCGCAAUGGGCGAAAGCCUGACGGAGCAACGCCGCGUGAGUGAUGAAGGUCCUCGGAUCGUAAAACUCUGUUAUUAGGGAAGAACAAAUGUGUAAGUAACUAUGCACGUCUUGACGGUACCUAAUCAGAAAGCCACGGCUAACUACGUG